Molecule: ribosomal RNA, 1116 nt
Filed under: uncultured marine bacterium
Lineage: Bacteria
Description: bacterial SSU rRNA
Rfam family: Bacterial small subunit ribosomal RNA
Source: RNAcentral
GACAGCACUGGAUAGAUACGCAAUCUACGAUGACAUCAUGGCAUCUGCUCAUGACGUACUCGAUGCAGGAAUGCUGCUGAGUCAGUAGUCCUGGUAGUAAGCUCUCGAUCGAGAAGACAUCGACUGUACCCGAUUGAGUAGGUUCGCUAACUGAGUACAGCAUGCUGCUGUGAUACGUAGGACUUAGCGUAGUCGGAAUACUGAGCUGAUGAGUCGUAGGUGGUGAAAAAGUAGUGUGCAAUCCAGAGCUGACUGUGGAACUGCCAUUAUAACUUUUCAGCUAUAGUAUGAUAGAGGAAAGCAGAAUUUCUAGUGUAGAGGUGAAAGUCGUAGAUAUUAGAAAGAAUACCAAUUGCGAAGGCAGCUUUCUGGAUCACUACUGACACUGAGGAACGAAAGCAUGGGUAGCGAAGAGGAUUAGAUACCCUCGUAGUCCAUGCCGUAAACGAUGUGUGUUAGACGUUGGAAAUUUAUUUUCAGUGUCGCAGGGAAACCGAUAAACACACCGCCUGGGGAGUACGACCGCAAGGUUAAAACUCAAAUGAAUUGACGGGGACCCGCACAAGUAGUGGAGCAUGUGGUUUAAUUCGAAGAUACGCGCAGAACCUUACCAACACUUGACAUGUUCGUCGCGACUCUAAGAGAUUAGAGUUUUCGGUUCGGCCGGACGAAACACAGGUGCUGCAUGGCUGUCGUCAGCUCGUGUCGUGAGAUGUUGGGUUAAGUCCCGCAACGAGCGCAACCCUCACUUUUAGUUGCCAUCAUUAAGUUGGGCACUAUGAAAGAACUGCCAGUGAUAAGCUGGAGGAAGGUGGGGAUGACGUCAAGUCCUCAUGGCCCUUACGUGUUGGGCUACACACGUGCUACAAUGGUAUCUACAACAGGAAGCAAGACUGCGAAGUUAAGCAAAUCCCUAAAAGAUACCUCAGUUCGGAUUGCACUCUGCAACUCGAGUGCAUGAAGCUGGAAUUACUAGUAAUCGUGGAUCAGCGUGCCACGGUGAAUGCGUUCCCGGGUCUUGUACACACCGCCCGUCACACCAUGGGAGUUGGUUCUACCUUAAGGCAAGGUUUUAAACCCUUGCCCACGGUAUAGUCAGCGACUGGGGAGAAGUCG